Molecule: ribosomal RNA, 2206 nt
Filed under: Klebsiella pneumoniae
Lineage: Bacteria; Pseudomonadati; Pseudomonadota; Gammaproteobacteria; Enterobacterales; Enterobacteriaceae
Description: bacterial LSU rRNA
Rfam family: Bacterial large subunit ribosomal RNA
Source: RNAcentral
UUAAGCGACUAAGCGUACACGGUGGAUGCCCUGGCAGUCAGAGGCGAUGAAGGACGUGCUAAUCUGCGAAAAGCGUCGGUAAGGUGAUAUGAACCGUUAUAACCGGCGAUGUCCGAAUGGGGAAACCCAGUGCAAUUCGUUGCACUAUCGUUAACUGAAUACAUAGGUUAACGAGGCGAACCGGGGGAACUGAAACAUCUAAGUACCCCGAGGAAAAGAAAUCAACCGAGAUUCCCCCAGUAGCGGCGAGCGAACGGGGAGCAGCCCAGAGUCUGAAUCAGCUUGUGUGUUAGUGGAACGGUCUGGAAAGUCCGACGGUACAGGGUGAUAGUCCCGUACACCAAAAUGCACAGGUUGUGAACUCGAAGAGUAGGGCGGGACACGUGGUAUCCUGUCUGAAUAUGGGGGGACCAUCCUCCAAGGCUAAAUACUCCUGACUGACCGAUAGUGAACCAGUACCGUGAGGGAAAGGCGAAAAGAACCCCGGCGAGGGGAGUGAAAAAGAACCUGAAACCGUGUACGUACAAGCAGUGGGAGCACCUUCGGGUGUGACUGCGUACCUUUUGUAUAAUGGGUCAGCGACUUAUAUUCUGUAGCAAGGUUAACCGUAUAGGGGAGCCGCAGGGAAACCGAGUCUUAACUGGGCGUUAAGUUGCAGGGUAUAGACCCGAAACCCGGUGAUCUAGCCAUGGGCAGGUUGAAGGUUGGGUAACACUAACUGGAGGACCGAACCGACUAAUGUUGAAAAAUUAGCGGAUGACUUGUGGCUGGGGGUGAAAGGCCAAUCAAACCGGGAGAUAGCUGGUUCUCCCCGAAAGCUAUUUAGGUAGCGCCUCGUGAACUCAUCUUCGGGGGUAGAGCACUGUUUCGGCUAGGGGGUCAUCCCGACUUACCAACCCGAUGCAAACUACGAAUACCGAAGAAUGUUAUCACGGGAGACACACGGCGGGUGCUAACGUCCGUCGUGAAGAGGGAAACAACCCAGACCGCCAGCUAAGGUCCCAAAGUCAUGGUUAAGUGGGAAACGAUGUGGGAAGGCACAGACAGCCAGGAUGUUGGCUUAGAAGCAGCCAUCAUUUAAAGAAAGCGUAAUAGCUCACUGGUCGAGUCGGCCUGCGCGGAAGAUGUAACGGGGCUAAACCAUGCACCGAAGCUGCGGCAGCGACACUAUGUGUUGUUGGGUAGGGGAGCGUUCUGUAAGCCUGCGAAGGUGUGCUGUGAGGCAUGCUGGAGGUAUCAGAAGUGCGAAUGCUGACAUAAGUAACGAUAAAGCGGGUGAAAAGCCCGCUCGCCGGAAGACCAAGGGUUCCUGUCCAACGUUAAUCGGGGCAGGGUGAGUCGACCCCUAAGGCGAGGCCGAAAGGCGUAGUCGAUGGGAAACAGGUUAAUAUUCCUGUACUUGGUGUUACUGCGAAGGGGGGACGGAGAAGGCUAUGUUAGCCGGGCGACGGUUGUCCCGGUUUAAGCAUGUAGGCUGAUUAUCCAGGCAAAUCCGGAUAAUCAAGGCUGAGGUGUGAUGACGAGGCACUACGGUGCUGAAGUAACAAAUGCCCUGCUUCCAGGAAAAGCCUCUAAGCAUCAGGUAACAUCAAAUCGUACCCCAAACCGACACAGGUGGUCAGGUAGAGAAUACCAAGGCGCUUGAGAGAACUCGGGUGAAGGAACUAGGCAAAAUGGUGCCGUAACUUCGGGAGAAGGCACGCUGGUGUGUAGGUGAAGUCCCUGCGGAUGGAGCUGAGACCAGUCGAAGAUACCAGCUGGCUGCAACUGUUUAUUAAAAACACAGCACUGUGCAAACACGAAAGUGGACGUAUACGGUGUGACGCCUGCCCGGUGCCGGAAGGUUAAUUGAUGGGGUUAUCCGUAAGGAGAAGCUCUUGAUCGAAGCCCCGGUAAACGGCGGCCGUAACUAUAACGGUCCUAAGGUAGCGAAAUUCCUUGUCGGGUAAGUUCCGACCUGCACGAAUGGCGUAAUGAUGGCCAGGCUGUCUCCACCCGAGACUCAGUGAAAUUGAACUCGCUGUGAAGAUGCAGUGUACCCGCGGCAAGACGGAAAGACCCCGUGAACCUUUACUAUAGCUUGACACUGAACAUUGAGCCUUGAUGUGUAGGAUAGGUGGGAGGCUUUGAAGCGUGGACGCCAGUCUGCGUGGAGCCAACCUUGAAAUACCACCCUUUAAUGUUUGAUGUUCUAACGUUGGCCCCU